GGGGGCACUGUGUCUUCUUAAAAAAAGGAAACAUUAAUUUGGUUUUAUUAAUUGUAAUCGAUAAUUCGAUCCAUUUUGAAUGUAGAAAAAUGAAGGUGCUCUAGAGAAUAGUAGCAAGCCCAAGGCGGAUUUACUAAAUCGAUGGAAAGGACAUUAUAGUCCGCUGUUUGGUGACAAAAGUGCCUAUUGUUUUGAUAAAAAAAGGGGUUUUCUGGAAUGAACACAAAUUUGCAAAGGUUCUAGCUCUUGCUGCCUGCUCCUGUAAUCCAGCGCCUGCUGAAUCUGUUGCUGUAGUGAAGGUGUUGGUGGUGGGAUGUCAGCCUGCUCAAGCAACUUGGGGGAUGCCACCAUGUGAUCCUCAUAAUAAGGAGAGGCUGUGUGGGGUCGGGAGGUGGCUGGAGAAGGCACUGGUAUUGUGAUAGCAUGUCUGCUCUCUUCUGUGGUGUGGAGUCUCUGACGUAUAGCUGGUGCAGUAUGGGAGUAGUACAUCCUCUUGCCAGUCAUGUGAUCUACACAAAAGACAUUUUAUAAACGUACUAGUCAUGUGAAUUACACAAAGGACAUUCUAUUAAUAAAGUAGUCAUGUGAUCUACAUUAGUUAUACUUGAUAAAAACAAAUUAAACAUUUACUAUUGUACAACACAAUACUGGUUUUGACAGUUUUCUAAUACAAGAAGCAAUGAAGUUGUAGAACUUUUGAAAGAAGAUGUGUAAUAUUUUGUGUGAAAAGAAUCGCCAAUUACUAUUAUAUUCAAUGGAUACCAGCACAUAUUAAACUAGAAGGAAAUAAGAAGGCUGACACACUCACCAAGUCUGGGAGAACAAACACACAAUUAAACAUUGCAUUCUAUCCAAACAAAAUGAAGAAACUAAUAGUCAAUAGAAUAAAUGAGAAAUGGACAAGCUGUCAUCUAAAUCACAAGAAAUAUGAUGCAUAUUAUAAGCUAUCCCCACAAGAUCAACGUCUAAUCUUUCACCUCAGGACAGGACACAUAUGCUCCAGAAGCUCAAACUUGGAACCAGUGAAAUCUGCCCAUGUGGAGUGUCAUGAGAGAAUGCUGACCAUGUUCUUCAAAACUGCAAUCUUUAUCAAGAGGCCCGAACAAGACACAAUAUCACAAUAAUAAAGCAUUUUAAGCUACA
Long non-coding RNA from Biomphalaria glabrata, 1143 nucleotides. RefSeq lists it as uncharacterized. The record is from RefSeq and is a predicted model, not a curated record. The transcript has 3 exons. NCBI's taxonomy places the organism in Eukaryota, Metazoa, Mollusca, Gastropoda, Planorbidae.